AUCAGAUAGUUCAACAGAGUUAUCAUAUGAUGAAUGAUAAUUCCAUCAUUCAAAGAAGACACCAAACAGAUGGUGCUUACAAUGUCAAUCAAAAAUAAUAGAUCCAUUAUCACUCACCUUAAUGAGAGGCUAUGAUCUAGUUAUCACCGUAACCAGCUCAUUUUAGAAACUUAAUAAUUUAGAGGGUUUAAUCAAUUUAGAGAAGAG
This 207-nucleotide long non-coding RNA is filed under the name Elaeis guineensis (African oil palm). Its description in RNAcentral is "long non-coding RNA (EGUI_LNC034724)". The record is from RNAcentral. Lineage: Eukaryota; Viridiplantae; Streptophyta; Magnoliopsida; Arecales; Arecaceae.